This is a long non-coding RNA of Xenia sp. Carnegie-2017, 401 nucleotides long. RefSeq lists it as uncharacterized. The transcript has 3 exons. Lineage: Eukaryota; Metazoa; Cnidaria; Anthozoa; Malacalcyonacea; Xeniidae. The record is from RefSeq and is a predicted model, not a curated record.
ACAACACUGAUCCUCUGAUACAUGGCGAUCAUAUUUGCAUCACACAAGAGGAAGAGUUUGCCACAGUAUGUACAAACGAAGCUGUCUUAAAAACAGCUAUGGUCGUGUACACACAUGACAUUGGACCUAUGCCUGAGAGUGAAGAAAACGAAGCAUUACGCUACGCGGCGUACCGACAGUGGACGGCUUGAGUGCAUGGCAGGUUGGGAAAAAAGUACCGACUACCCAUACCUUCUUGUGCUGUGGACAAAAUCCGGAAAGCAUUUCCUUCGCCUUCUGGAGAAUACAAAGGAUUUGAAUAUGCUCAACACUACUGAAUGCGAGAUUUAUGUUGCUUAAUGGCUUCAGCUUUGCUGAUUUUUGAUUUGUGGUGAGUCAAUGGGACAGGUAUGUCUUUCACU